GGAAAGAUGAAAAGAACUUUGAAAAGAGAGUUAAACAGUACGUGAAAUUGUUGAAAAGGAAACGAUUGAAGUCAGUCAUACCAAUGGGAAAUCAACCUUUUGAGCUCUGCCUUGUGGGUUCGAAGAGUUUAAAAGCCUUCGGGUUUGCGAGAUUGAGAUCUUCUGGUGUACUUUCUCGUACGGUUAGUCAACAUCGGUUUUAAUCAUUAGAAAAUGGUUGAAGGAAUGUAACUUUGAUUACGAUCGGGGUUUAUAGCCUUUGGCAGAUAUAAUGAUCAAGACCGAGGAUUGCAACGAAUGCCCAUUUCGGGCUAUUCGUCUGAUUUCUGAUACGUUGUCUUUAGUAUCGAAAGCUUGCUUACGAUAUUAGGGUUCACGGGUCAAAGAUUAGAAUGGAUUAAAUUCGUUAAGGAUGUUGACGUAAUGACUUUAAACGACCCGUCUUGAAACACGGACCA
This 458-nucleotide ribosomal RNA is filed under the name Entrophospora infrequens. RNAcentral's name for it is "LSU rRNA". It matches the Rfam family "Eukaryotic large subunit ribosomal RNA", at positions 358 to 668 of the family's 3401-position model. Lineage: Eukaryota; Fungi; Glomeromycota; Glomeromycetes; Entrophosporales; Entrophosporaceae. The record is from RNAcentral.